AUUUUUCCCAUUUUAAUCUGCCAUAUUUUCAUCCCAAUUCUCAGUCCACAUAAGUCAUUCAAGUACCACUUCAUUAGAAAUGGGAAGGCCAUGGAGAGAAGCCAGGAUGCUUUAAACCAAAUUUUCCAUCAUUUGGCCGGUAUCUGCAGGAUCACCAGACUAGAGAAUCCUGAGGGAAAAGCUUCUUCUCCUUUGCUUUUGAUCCAGUAUCUGUGCCAGCCCCCAGCACCUGUGGUAUCCAGACCUGCUUUUGGGAAGGUCAGAGGCUGGAAACUAUCAGACUCCAGGGUAAGAAAGAGGGGAGGAAAAGCUUUAGAGUGUUUUUGUUGCACAGAAGCAAGGACAAUGCAGGCCAAAUUGUGUUUUUGUUUCGUGUUGUUUUUUAUUAAAUCCUGACAACUGAUUACCCAGACAGCUUAUUUAUGCAACUGAAAUCCUACGCUCUAGGAGUACUGCCCUAUAAAUACAGAAUAUAAAGGUAAACAAAUUCGUUUCUAAUACAUCUCUGGCCAGAUGGGGCUGGAGGGGAGGUGGACACCCAGCUCACCUCAAUUCCCCCUCAAUGCCCUGCCCGAACUUACUUGGUCCUGACAUCCCUGCCUUUGCCUUCUCAUUGUACCAAAAGCUGAAACUGCUAAAGUCUCUCCACUAUCCAUUGUCCAAACAUAAUAGUUUUGAAACUUAGGGAGAAUAUUCUGCAGAAUCUUCUAGUUUACCGCCCCCGGCAACUAUCCAUUACAAAAAAUAACGCCAUCUUUCCAAAUUUCCUAUAAGGCCAGAAAUCUAUGCAUUUAAUGAGUAUUGAACAAUUGCCCUGAGUGUCAGCCCUGUGCUUGGUACCAGGAAUAGUGGUGAAAAUGUGAAGACAGCUGCUUCCAGAGCUCCUACUCAGCAGGGGACAGACAAGUAAACAAGAGGAACCACACUCACAAGGUAGAGGGAAGGAGGGAGGGAGGGAGGGGGAAAGAGAGAGAAAGAGAAAUCAAACCAGCCAGC
Molecule: long non-coding RNA, 996 nt
Filed under: Fukomys damarensis (Damara mole-rat)
Lineage: Eukaryota; Metazoa; Chordata; Mammalia; Rodentia; Bathyergidae
Description: lncRNA (ENSFDAG00000024291.1)
Source: RNAcentral